RNAcentral lists this unclassified non-coding RNA (538 nucleotides) under Hevea brasiliensis (rubber tree). The record is from RNAcentral. Lineage: Eukaryota; Viridiplantae; Streptophyta; Magnoliopsida; Malpighiales; Euphorbiaceae.
AUGAACCGGAACUAGUGGCUGCAACUGCAAAAUCCACAAACAAUUAAUGUGAUAAAAAACUAAAGAGACCAACAUAUUCAGUAAUAAUCCAAUGCUUCACGAGCAUGGAUCUGAAAAUACAGAAUAUCACAUCAUGAAGUAAAAGUUGUAGAAUGAGAUCAUAGAGUUCAAAACAUUCAUGUUUUCUGUACCUGUGGAUUUCCAAGAUCAUAAUGGCUUAGGAUUUUAACUUUGCCUCUCAAUUCAUAGACAUGCAUUCCUGACUAUAUUUUUCUUCCAUAAACCUUGCAACUACUUGUCCCCCUCCACCAUACAUUUAAUGUAUAUUUUGUUGGCCAAAAUACAUACACCCAGUACUAUUUGAGAUUGAUCUAUUAAACACUAGAAUUAAAAUCGUAACCUAUUGAACAAUUGAAUUUAUAAAAUUCAUAAUAAUUAAACAUAAAUUAGCCAUCUCAUCGAUGACUUACCAAAAAAAGUCAGAAAUGAUCCAACUUAUUGUUAAAUAUACUCUAAAUGUUGCUGACUGUGAUUUAAA